GUGAAUCAUCGAAUCUUUGAACGCAAAUUGCGCCUUUUUGGGAAGGCAUGGCUGUCUGAGGGCACCAUUUAACAAAUAAUGUGUAGCGUUUUUUGUUGCACACGUUGAAGAGCUUUUUAAGAAUUUUAAAUUUUUGGCUGCGCAUAAUAAAAAGCGCGAUGUUUUUUUUUAGUUCGAGUGUAGUAAUAUUUUUUCUUGUUUGGGUUGUGAAAAGCGUGUGCGCGGAAUGGGUGAGGAAAUA
Molecule: unclassified non-coding RNA, 241 nt
Filed under: Paraglomus occultum
Lineage: Eukaryota; Fungi; Glomeromycota; Glomeromycetes; Paraglomerales; Paraglomeraceae
Description: partial contains 5.8S ribosomal RNA and internal transcribed spacer 2
Source: RNAcentral